GAUUAUGGCUCAGGAUGAACGCUAGCGACAGGCUUAACACAUGCAAGUCGAGGGGCAGCAUAAAAGUAGCAAUACUUGGUGGCGACCGGCGCACGGGUGAGUAACGCGUAUGCAACCUACCUAUCAGAGGGGAAUAACCCGGCGAAAGUCGGACUAAUACCGCAUAAAACAGGGGCACCGCAUGGUGAUAUUUGUUAAAGAAAUUCGCUGAUAGAUGGGCAUGCGUUCCAUUAGGUAGUUGGUGAGGUAACGGCUCACCAAGCCGACGAUGGAUAGGGGAACUGAGAGGUUGGUCCCCCACACUGGUACUGAGACACGGACCAGACUCCUACGGGAGGCAGCAGUGAGGAAUAUUGGUCAAUGGGCGGGAGCCUGAACCAGCCAAGUCGCGUGAAGGAAAGAAGGAUCUAUGGUUCGUAAACUUCUUUUGCAGGGGAAUAAAGUGCAGGACGUGUCCUGUUUUGUAUGUACCCUGAGAAUAAGGAUCGGCUAACUCCGUGCCAGCAGCAGC
Molecule: ribosomal RNA, 511 nt
Filed under: uncultured bacterium
Lineage: Bacteria
Description: bacterial SSU rRNA
Rfam family: Bacterial small subunit ribosomal RNA
Source: RNAcentral